UACGUAGGGGGCAAGCGUUAUCCGGAUUUACUGGGUGUAAAGGGAGCGUAGACGGCUGUACAAGUCUGAAGUGAAAGCCCGUGGCUCAACCGCGGAACUGCUUUGGAAACUGUAAAGCUGGAGUACUGGAGAGGCAGGCGGAAUUCCUAGUGUAGCGGUGAAAUGCGUAGAUAUUAGGAGGAACACCAGUGGCGAAAGCGGCUCUCUGGUCUGUAACUGACGCUGGGGUUCGAAAGCGUGGGUAGCAAACAGG
RNAcentral lists this ribosomal RNA (253 nucleotides) under uncultured bacterium. RNAcentral describes it as "partial 16S ribosomal RNA". It matches the Rfam family "Bacterial small subunit ribosomal RNA", at positions 524 to 776 of the family's 1533-position model. The record is from RNAcentral.